GGUGGGGGCGGGGAGGAAGGGCCUCUUUAAGGAAAAUAACAGAAAACCACGAGCGAGCGAGCGUGAGAUUGGUCUGGGAGCCUUAGAGCAGGUCUCACAAGAUGCCUAAGCCUGCGUUAGCUUCCUCGGGGGUCAAGCAGGCACCAGGCAGAACUUAGCCAGAAGCGGGGGUCGCGGGGGGCUCUGAAGGCACCAGCGCCGGGCAGGGAGAUAACGGGUAUCUCCACCCUUGCUGGGUAGCGAGUUCCUGAGGAAGCCCCGGAGCCUUCCUGCCGCGGCGUCCCCCAUCCACGUGCUGUCCGUGGGUCGGGGGUUUAAAGGAUGAGCCUGGCGCCUCGCGGACCCCUGGAACACAGGGCCCUGCCUGCAGCCGCCCCCCUCCCGGAGGAGGGGGGUUCUAUAGAGCCAGGGGUCCGCCCCAGGGCCUGGCUGUGGUAAGCUCUGCUAGCAGCAAGCUGUGACUUUGGAAAGUUGCAAUUUGUUCGUGGGAGCGGCUGGCACAGCUGCCUCUGGUCACAUCCCGGGGCUACGCAGCCCUCCAUCCACCCAGGGACAGGGUGGCGUUGCAAGGCAGCCAGUGCGUCGUGGAAGAAGAGGAAAAGGGAACAUCUGGAAGGUGGCGGCCCUAAGACCCCGGGGCAGUCCCGGAGGCGCAGGCAAAGUCCUGUCCAUCACGGAAGCCUGGCGCGCGCUCUAGCGCCCCACGCUCACGGACCGAAAGCUCUCGAGGGGCCAACGGCAGGGGCCGACGGCGGGCCCACGCGGCGGGCAGCCCCGCGGGCGCGCUCACCUUGCGGCCGUUCACGUAGAAGAGCAGCUCGGGCGCCGGCUCCAUGGUGACUGACGGCUGCGCGGGGCGCACGGCGGAGAGCGGGGACCGCGGUUCCGAGGAGCAGUCCAGCGGACAGCGAGCGUCCGCACCGAGGUUCGGCGUGGCGAGUGGGCGGCGAGGGAGACGCCGGGAUAAAACCGUGCGGCGCCGACGUCAGCGCGGCGCUCCCGGGGGCUGCGGGCGUUGGGCGAACCUGGCCCUGACCCGGUCACCUCCCGGCGGGCGGUGCUCAGAGGCAGCACCGCGCCCUGUGGCCUCGUGCCAGACCUCGCGUGCCAGACCUCGCUGUGGCCCUCGUGUUUUAUGACCUCGUUUAGACGGGAUUUGUCCCUCCCUCCGCAUUGUGCCUGCUGUGGGCUUGCAUGCUUCAUUGCACGCAAUCAUUUGUUCCAGCUUUGCAGGACGGAUGGUUCAAUGGCUUCGCCUUACAGGUUGAGCAAUAAUCCUUAAAGCUUGUUUUUUAAAAUCAGGGGCUAUUUUGACAUAGUGAUAUCGCUUUUUAUUUUUUAAAGAUGUUAUCAGUACUUACAGCUAUUCAGUUAUGGGAUAAUGACUAAUUAACCACAAAGUUUAUCUGGUAAAUAUUGAGAUGUAGGGUCUGUGGCAUAGCCCGUAAAGCUGCGUCCUGAGUCGCAGGCAUUCCCUAUGGGCGCCAGUUCGAGUUCCAGCUGCUCCACUUCUGAUCCAGCUCUCUGCUAUGGUCUGGGAAAGCAGCAGAAGAUGGCCCAAGUCCUUGGGCCCCUGCACCCACGUGGGAGACCGGGCUUAUGCUUGGCCUAGCUGUUGUGGCCAUCUGGGGAGUGAACCAACAGAUGGAAGAUCCCUGUCUCUCCCCCCCCCUCUGUAACUCUGCCUUUAAAUAAAUAAAUAAAUAAAAUAUUUUCAAAGAGUGA
This is a long non-coding RNA of Oryctolagus cuniculus (rabbit), 1725 nucleotides long. RefSeq lists it as uncharacterized. Lineage: Eukaryota; Metazoa; Chordata; Mammalia; Lagomorpha; Leporidae. The record is from RefSeq and is a predicted model, not a curated record.